GGAGAGGUGGUCGAGCUGGUUUAAGGCACCGGUCUUGAAAACCGGCGUAGGGGUGACUCUACCGUGGGUCUCGAAUCCCACCCUCUCCGCCA
This 92-nucleotide transfer RNA is filed under the name Caloramator sp. mosi_1. RNAcentral's name for it is "tRNA-Ser". It matches the Rfam family "tRNA". From Rfam's summary of the family: Transfer RNA (tRNA) molecules are approximately 80 nucleotides in length. Their secondary structure includes four short double-helical elements and three loops (D, anti-codon, and T loops). Lineage: Bacteria; Bacillati; Bacillota; Clostridia; Eubacteriales; Clostridiaceae. The record is from RNAcentral.